CCCGAGAAAUGUUUUGUGAAGCUUCUGUUGAUGGAGAUGGUGUGAAGCAGAAGUGUGUUUUUACUGCUUCUGCUAUCUUCAUCUUCACAUGCUCUCUGACAAAGGACUGU
This is a microRNA precursor of Gallus gallus (chicken), 110 nucleotides long. NCBI's taxonomy places the organism in Eukaryota, Metazoa, Chordata, Aves, Galliformes, Phasianidae. The record is from Ensembl.